RNAcentral lists this long non-coding RNA (219 nucleotides) under Selaginella moellendorffii. RNAcentral describes it as "long non-coding RNA (SMOE_LNC002240)". Lineage: Eukaryota; Viridiplantae; Streptophyta; Lycopodiopsida; Selaginellales; Selaginellaceae. The record is from RNAcentral.
UAAUCCAGAAGAACAAAAAAAAGGUGAGGCUGUGUAAUAAAGACUUUGUGAAACUUUAAUAAUUAUAGGAAGAGCAGGUAUGGAUAUCCAUGGUUUCUUUGAACUCCUCUUUGCUCGGUUGGCCUUUACUACGGCCUUUUGGACGUCCUGUGGUUUCCUCCUAUGAUGUUUUCCUUCCUGGCAUUAGAGAGUAACUGAGGAUGUAAGAUUGCACUGCCU